This 23-nucleotide small nuclear RNA is filed under the name Arabidopsis thaliana (thale cress). RNAcentral's name for it is "snRNA_06205". Lineage: Eukaryota; Viridiplantae; Streptophyta; Magnoliopsida; Brassicales; Brassicaceae. The record is from RNAcentral.
AUAAAAUCUCUUCUAGUCAAAGU